ACAUCCUAACUCAAACCUGUCUUAAAACCCAAAAACUUUAAGAACAACACCGUUUUCUUUUGCAAAUUUUUUUUGGUAGGGCUAAAGGAGUGGGGAGAUGAGGAUGUACUAAAGAUACACUAUAUUGGUGACUCGUCAGACACAUGUAUUUUCUAAAACACACUAACUAAAAACAAAAUAAAACAAAGUAAACAACUAAAAAGCAAUAAAAAUAAACAA
Molecule: long non-coding RNA, 219 nt
Filed under: Lathyrus oleraceus (garden pea)
Lineage: Eukaryota; Viridiplantae; Streptophyta; Magnoliopsida; Fabales; Fabaceae
Description: Pisum sativum (pea) long non-coding RNA (PSAT_LNC012148)
Source: RNAcentral